CGCGGCGUCCCGUCGCCGCGUCGCGUUGCUGGCCCGUCGGAGCGACGCCGCUCGGGUCAGUCGGCGGCCGGACUGGGAAGAUGGACGCAGCUACUCUGACCUACGACACUCUCCGGUUUGCUGAGUUUGAAGAUUUUCCUGAGACCUCAGAGCCCGUUUGGAUACUGGGUAGAAAAUACAGCAUUUUCACAGAAAAGGACGAGAUCUUGUCUGAUGUGGCAUCUAGACUUUGGUUUACAUACAGGAAAAACUUUCCAGCCAUUGGAGGUUGUCGGGACAUUUCACUCUCCAGUAAAUGUGGCCCUUGGCGUUACUGAGUCCUAAGAGGGGGGACAGGCCCCACCUCGGACACAGGCUGGGGCUGCAUGCUGCGGUGUGGACAGAUGAUCUUUGCCCAAGCCCUGGUGUGCCGGCACCUAGGCCGAGAUUGGAGGUGGACACAAAGGAAGAGGCAGCCAGACAGCUACUUCAGCGUCCUCAACGCAUUCAUCGACAGGAAGGACAGUUACUACUCCAUUCACCAGAUAGCGCAAAUGGGAGUUGGCGAAGGCAAGUCCAUAGGCCAGUGGUACGGGCCGAACACUGUCGCCCAGGUCCUCAAGAAGGUUGUGCAGGACCAGCGUUCCCUGUGCAGGCGCCACUGCGUUUCCUGCAGAUUCCGACCGGCACUGCAACGGAUUCCCUGCCGGAGCUGAGGUCACCAACAGGCUGUCGCCAUGGAGACCCCUGGUACUUCUCAUUCCCCUGCGCCUGGGGCUCACAGACAUCAACGAGGCCUACGUGGAGACGCUGAAGCACUGCUUCAUGAUGCCCCAGUCCCUGGGCGUCAUCGGAGGGAAGCCCAACAGCGCCCACUACUUCAUCGGCUACGUUGGUGAGGAGCUCAUCUACCUGGACCCCCACACCACGCAGCCAGCCGUGGAGCCCACUGACGGCUGCUUCAUCCCGGACGAGAGCUUCCACUGCCAGCACCCGCCGUGCCGCAUGAGCAUCGCGGAGCUUGACCCGUCCAUUGCUGUGGGGUUUUUCUGUAAGACUGAAGAUGACUUCAGUGAUUGGUGCCAGCAAGUCAAAAAGCUGUCUCUGCUCGGAGGUGCCCUGCCCAUGUUUGAGCUGGUGGAGCAGCAGCCUUCACAUCUGGCCUGCCCCGACGUCCUGAACCUGUCCCUAGGUGAGAGCUGCCAAGUCCAGGUGGGGUCCCUCGGAGGUACGAUCUGUGCCCUUGCUUCCCCAGUCCUGGCCCCCUUGGUUUUGACCAUUAAGGUGUGUGUGAGCCUGAGCCAUGAGCACUUGGCAGUGGUUCGCCUGUGAGACCAGGUGUGGAGCGGAGCGUCCCCUCCUCCAAGCUUGCGCCCAGCAGCCCAGGACCCACCUCGUCUUCCCCCCGAGGCGCUGCCUGCCCGGGCACUGUGGAGCUGGGCGUGCUCCCAUGGAGUCCUCAGGGCUCUGGAGCAGACAGAACAUGCAGGCUCUGUGGUGACGCAGUUCUGGGUGGGGGACUGGUUCACUUGGGCACCACUGGCCACGGGUGGCGUAGACCCCUUGGACCAUGGCCAGCGUGCCACAGGAGCCAGCCUGGGCUCGUGCAGUGAAGUGAGUGGCCGUGAGCGUGUCCUCCUCAUCCCUGUCUCCCUGUGGGAAACUCUACAAACAAGGCAAUGGCAAUGGAACCACUCCUGAUGACCACGAGGGUCAGACGCGGGACAGAGGCCCCUCAGGCCUGAGAUUGUGCCGGCCGCCCCCUGCCCUCCUCACCCUGCCCUGCUCCUCUUCUCUGCUCCCUCCCCCCAUAUUCGCAGGUCUGCACAACCCCAGGACCUGUUCACACCCGCAUGGGGACAGCUGUCUGUGGGCUGCAGAGCAGGCACUGCUCAGUCUGCCCCACACCAAGGGCACUUGACUCACACCCAGGUGGCCCACUCAAGAUGCCUGAUGCGCUAUGUCCUGUUCCUUCUAGAUUCUUCUGAUGUAGAGCGACUGGAAAGAUUCUUCGACUCAGAAGAUGAAGACUUUGAAAUCCUGUCCCUUUGAAAAUCCUGGGGUCGGGGGUGGCACCUGUGAGAGCCUGGGGCUCCUGGUGCCGCUGCGUUCCAUCCAUCCCGCCCGCUCGCCUGCCGAGGGCUGCGCCCCGUGCUGCCUCCCCCCAGAGGGCCACCCGCUGUGCUCGUGGACUGAGGCUGCGCUGCCCGGGAGGCCUUACUGCUUGGUGUCAGACUGCCCAGCUCAGAGUGCCCGUCAGGGCCUGUGCAUCCGCACGUGGAGCCGUCUGUUAGGAGCUUCCAGAGCAUUCUCUCGACACUGCCAGCCCCGUGUUAGCGCCUGGGCCUCAGUCCCACUUGCUCCCAGGCGCCGGUUCUGUGGUUGGU
Molecule: small RNA, 2366 nt
Filed under: Pan troglodytes (chimpanzee)
Lineage: Eukaryota; Metazoa; Chordata; Mammalia; Primates; Hominidae
Description: retained intron
Source: RNAcentral